Molecule: long non-coding RNA, 438 nt
Organism: Hippocampus zosterae (dwarf seahorse)
Lineage: Eukaryota; Metazoa; Chordata; Actinopteri; Syngnathiformes; Syngnathidae
Exons: 2
Source: RefSeq, a predicted model, not a curated record
CUCCUUAGUUUGUAAGGUGUAGGCAGGGAUUACAUUUAGAUUUUAUAUACAUGUGUAAAUGGUUUAAAACUUCCUUUCUUUAUAAACCUUGUUUAAUCAUAAAGUGCAUUACUAUAUUUUUCAAUACCAAUUACUUGUUAAAGUUUGUACAAUCAAUGGGAUCAGUUGCAAUGCAUAUAUGUGAAUGAUAAAAGUAAAUUGCACAUUUAUUGAAGGAAAUGUAAGGUGCUUCAUGAAAUGUUUUUUAAAAGAUACAAAGACAUUUUGUUUUGGUUGUUUAUAGCAAAGUAUGGUAUCAUUUUAAUGGUCCGGCCCACUUGACAUCUACUGAGGCCUUAUGUGGCCCACCAUGUGAAAUGAGUUUGACACCAGUGAUGUAUAGUAAGGCGUUUUUAGCCUAAAAAAAACAACCAUGUAAAGAAAGGUGUUUUUAGCCGA